AAUCUUCCGCAAUGGACGAAAGUCUGACGGAGCAACGCCGCGUGAGUGAUGAAGGUUUUCGGAUCGUAAAACUCUGUUGUUCGGGAAGAACAAGUAUCGGAGUCACUGCGGGUACCUUGACGGUACCUGACGUGUAAGCAACGGCGAACUACCUGCCAGCGGCCGCGGUAAUACGUAGGUGGCAAGCGUUGUCCGGAUUUAUUGGGGGUAAAGCGCGCGCAGGCGGUCUUUUAAUUCUGAUGUGAAAUCUUACAGCUUAACUGUAAGCGGUCAUUGGAAACUGGUAGACUUGAGUGCAGAUGAGGAGAGUGGAAUUCCUUGUGUAGCGGUGAAAUGCGUAGAGAUAUGGAGGAACACCAGUGGCGAAGGCGACUCUCUGGUCUGUAACUGACGCUGAGGCGCGAAAGCGUGGGUAUCAAACA
RNAcentral lists this ribosomal RNA (422 nucleotides) under uncultured bacterium. RNAcentral's name for it is "partial 16S ribosomal RNA". It matches the Rfam family "Bacterial small subunit ribosomal RNA", at positions 360 to 774 of the family's 1533-position model. The record is from RNAcentral.